Molecule: ribosomal RNA, 279 nt
Filed under: Phocaeicola plebeius DSM 17135
Lineage: Bacteria; Pseudomonadati; Bacteroidota; Bacteroidia; Bacteroidales; Bacteroidaceae
Description: partial 16S ribosomal RNA
Rfam family: Bacterial small subunit ribosomal RNA
Source: RNAcentral
UAUGGUAGUGCCAGCCGCCGCGGUAAUACGGAGGAUGCGAGCGUUAUCCGGAUUUAUUGGGUUUAAAGGGAGCGCAGACGGGUCGUUAAGUCAGCUGUGAAAGUUUGGGGCUCAACCUUAAAAUUGCAGUUGAUACUGGCGUCCUUGAGUGCGGUUGAGGUGUGCGGAAUUCGUGGUGUAGCGGUGAAAUGCUUAGAUAUCACGAAGAACUCCGAUUGCGAAGGCAGCACACUAAGCCGUAACUGACGUUCAUGCUCGAAAGUGUGGGUAUCAAACAGG